Molecule: ribosomal RNA, 329 nt
Filed under: uncultured bacterium
Lineage: Bacteria
Description: bacterial SSU rRNA
Rfam family: Bacterial small subunit ribosomal RNA
Source: RNAcentral
ACUCCUACGGGAGGCAGCAGUGGGGAAUAUUGCACAAUGGGCGCAAGCCUGAUGCAGCCAUGCCGCGUGUGUGAAGAAGGCCUUCGGGUUGUAAAGCACUUUCAGUCGUGAGGAAGGUAGUGUAGUUAAUAGCUCGCAUUAUUUGACGUUAGCGACAGAAGAAGCAUCCCGGCAANUUCCNCCAGCAGCCGCGGUAAUACGGAGGGUGCGAGCGUUAAUCGGAAUUACUGGGCGUAAAGCGCAUGCAGGUGGUUUGUUAAGUCAGAUGUGAAAGCCCGGGGCUCAACCUCGGAAUUGCAUUUGAAACUGGCAGACUAAGAGUACUGUAG